AGAGUUUGAUCCUGGCUCAGGACGAACGUUGGCGGCGUGCUUAACACAUGCAAGUCGAGCGGUUGAGAGGUGGGAGGUGAGAGGUUAGACGUGGGAGAAAGGAAAGAAAGAAUUCGGUUUUAGCCGAAUUCUAAUCUAAAGUUCUCACAUCCAACAUCUCACAUCUCACUUCUCAAUAGCGGCGGACGGGUGAGUAACGCGUGGAUAAUCUGCCUGUAAGACAGGGAUAACGCCGGGAAACCGGUGCUAAUACCCGAUAACCUCUUUGGAUCGCAUGAUUUGAAGAGAAAACAAUGCUACCACUUACAGAUGAAUCCGCGUCCCAUUAGCCAGUUGGUGGGGUAAAGGCCUACCAAAGCGACGAUGGGUAGCCGGCCUGAGAGGGUGACCGGCCACACUGGAACUGAGAUACGGUCCAGACUCCUACGGGAGGCAGCAGUGGGGAAUCUUCCGCAAUGGGCGAAAGCCUGACGGAGCAACGCCGCGUGAGCGAAGAAGGUCUUCGGAUUGUAAAGCUCUGUCCUUGGUGAAGAAUGAUGUGCUGGUACCCUUGGAGGAAGCCCCGGCUAACUACGUGCCAGCAGCCGCGGUAAUACGUAGGGGGCAAGCGUUAUCCGGAAUUAUUGGGCGUAAAGAGUGCGUAGGUGGUUUAUUAAGUCUUUGGUAUAAGUGCAGUGCUUAACCUGGGAAGUGCAUUGGAUACUGGCAAACUUGAGUACGGGAGAGGAUAGUGGAAUUUCGAGUGUAGGGGUGAAAUGCGUAGAUAUCAGGAGGAACACCCGUGGCGAAGGCGGGUUGCUGGACCAAAACUGACGCUGAGACGCGAAAGCGUGGGUAGCAAACAGGAUUAGAUACCCUGGUAGUCCACGCUGUAAACGAUGAGUGCUAGGUGUAGGGGGUAUCGACUCCCUCUGUGCCGCAGUUAACGCAUUAAGCACUCCGCCUGGGGAGUACGGCCGCAAGGUUAAAACUCAAAGGAAUUGACGGGGGCCCGCACAAGCGGUGGAGUAUGUGGUUUAAUUCGAUGAUACGCGAGAAACCUUACCUGGUCUUGACAUGCUGUGACAGCUAUAGAAAUAUAGACUUCUUAGUUUACUAAGACACAGAGAGGUGGUGCAUGGUUGUCGUCAGCUCGUGUCGUGAGAUGUUGGGUUAAGUCCCGCAACGAGCGCAACCCUUGUUGCUAGUUACCAGCACGUAAUGGCGAGCACUCUAGACAGACUGCCGGUGAUAAACCGGAGGAAGGUGGGGAUGACGUCAAAUCAUCAUGCCCCUUAUGUUCUGGGCUACACACGUGCUACAAUGGCCAGUACAGACGGAAGCGAAGCCGCGAGGUGGAAGCCAAUCCGAGAAAGCUGGUCUCAGUUCGGAUUGCAGGCUGCAACUCGCCUGCAUGAAGUCGGAAUCGCUAGUAAUCGCAGGUCAGCAUACUGCGGUGAAUACGUUCCCGGGCCUUGUACACACCGCCCGU
This 1471-nucleotide ribosomal RNA is filed under the name uncultured bacterium. RNAcentral describes it as "16S ribosomal RNA". It matches the Rfam family "Bacterial small subunit ribosomal RNA". The record is from RNAcentral.